CGCCGCCGCCGCCGCCCGGGCCCCAAGGCCUGCUGCCCGCCCCGCUCCACGGCACCGCCUAACCGGACCACUGCUGCUCUCUGCGGAACCAGCGAGAGAGUUUAUUCCUUCAAUUUUAUUGGACGUAGCCUUCCUUUGAUGGUCCUCCCGAAAGAAAUUUUGUCUAGUGGUCCCUUAUCACUGAAAAUUUAAGAGCCGCUGACCCGGCUCCUCUGCGAGCGAGAGGGCCGCCCGAGCCGAGCCCCGUCUCCCCAUAUUUCGAUCGCGCUUUUGAGAAGCGCGCCGGGCCAUUUGGUGAACACUAUAUACUUAUUAGAUACGAUUCGAUUGAACUGUUACUUCUUUCAUAACGUUAAUGUAUAUAUUUAAGAAUGUUGAAAAAACGAAUGAAACCGACGCUACAGUUUCUAGACUCAUUGUUUGCGUCGACUCGAAAACGAUCGCUUAGGGAGAUCCUUCCCUAUUAUCUUGAAUGUAUUUUUUGCACGUAGAUAGUGUACGAGUCAUAAAGGUUUUUGCGACCUUCCUGAAAUCGAAUUGAAUGAUAUUAGGAUGCGGGCGUGUACACGUGUUUGGUGCCAAACGAACGCUACGUUUUACGUGCACGAAAGAUUGAUAUCACGGUAAAUAAAUAUUUGUCAAUUUUAAAAGCAAUCUCCCAUGAUACUAACGGUUAUUCCACGUAUAAAUUAAUUGAAACACAUUUAUGCUGGUCAUAAACGUAAAUUUAUUCUACUUAUUACAUUGAAUUAAUCAAAUGAAGUUUUUCGCCGCUCUAAAUGUAAUGAAAAACAUUAAAAUAAAACUAUUUAAAAUAUUUAAUUACGAAAUGUUAUAGUAAAAAGCACAAAUAACUUAGUACCAUUAAAAACUAAUUUGUUGCAUGAAAUGUUUAGCAUAGAUAAUUGCAAGAUACCUAGAUAGAAAGUAAUCGAGCUUAUUGAAGUCCAUCAAAGCUGUCUAUGGACAGACAGAGUGUUCUUGGAACCUAAGCUAACUUUACUUGUCAUCACAAUAAAACGACAGAAAAUAAUUGUGUUCUCAUAAUUAGAUCGUUGGCGUGACUUUGACUACGGAAGAAAGGUCUAUGUUAUUGAGGUCACUCAGACCAAAGGGAAAUAAGUAAUCUUAAAUGCUCACUCCUCAGACGAAAAACUAAUGUAUAAUAAGUUUUAAGCGAGCAAAAUUUAACCUAAAGUAUUAAGUUGUAGGCAAGUUUAAAACUUAUAAAUAAUACGUUUUACCAUACUUUUUAAUUAAGUAAAGAAACUGAUGUAGUGAGCAUUCUAAGGUUACAUAUUUUUCGAUGGUCAGACCAAGCACAGCCGGGACCGAGACGAUUUUUACUUGUCAUCCAGCAUAAUAGGGUGUAAAAUAAGCUUUAAAAGUGUGGUCACAUUCUGCAAUUGUUUGUUGUGAUAUUCUUGAUGAACAACUGAAAACUUUUCGGUCCCCGCGUUGGCUUGAGUUUAGUUUCGGAAAUAUAAAGGUUUUUGUGUAACUAGAUUAGAACCAAGUGCAAGGACCGAGGCGAUCUUUACUUGUUGCCACAUAUUUGUUGAUGAACAACUGAAUACACCUGGGUCCCUCGAUAUAUAGCGUUGGUUCGAGUUAUAUCUGUAGGAGUUAUCCGUCCUCGCCAUGACAGAUUAUUCCUAUAAGCUUGCCGGUACCUAGUGCGUACAAAUAUGUUGUAGAAAUAGAAAUGGGACGGAUAUACGAAGCCAUACAAAAACACUACGCUCUCAUCGUAAUUUAACAUUGAUGGCAAUGAAUUUAUACUAAAUAAGACUAAUAAAUCUAGGGAAAUCUAUCAAGAAAUUGACAUUGAAUGCAAAUGUAAUAACUAAUAAAUCGAAAAGCUCUAUGUAAAUUUAUAAGCAAAUUUAUGUCGAAUUAAAAAAUUAAAUGAUAGUGAUGUUAGAUAUUUUAAGGAAUGGUUAUAAUUCGUUUGAAGGGACCUGGAUUACUAUGAUCACACUGGAUUGAUCUCAAUUAUGUGCGUGCGAACAGGUUAUUAUAUUAUGUUUAAUUAUAAUUGUGUCCUGUAUUUUAAACUCUUCGCAGUUGAAAAUAGUUUCACAUAUUAGGUUUUGCUUCGUUUCUUGCUAUUUGUAAUAUUAAGUACUAAUUUAUAUCUUUCAUUCCUAGGAGCAUUUAAAAAUUAACUUUUCGUAAAUUAUAUUUGAAAUUGGAUACUAUGAAAUAUACAAUUAUGUUUCAUGGAGAAUUUCUGUGUGAAUACAAUAAUUAUAAGUGCCAUUAGUGCUAGGCCAUGUAGAUCGCAGCGCGGGUAUUGUAAGGAUAUUCUAAGUUCCAUCACGUGAGGACUUCCUAAAACAAAUAAAAUUGGUAAUUUGCUAGAAAAAUGUGUAUUAAAUAAUUAAAAUUUUGAUGGGUGGCAGGCUCUAAUCAAUUGUUUUGCGUCUAGUCAGGCUAGUAUUUUAUAUUUACUUUAUUAUCAGCUACAUAUCAUUUUUAUGGUAAAAUUCAAUAUAUUCAUGAUACUUUACAUGAAAUUAUUUAUCAAUUGGCCAUAUUUUUGUCGGAAUUUUAGUUAUAUUUAGCCUCUCGUACGCAGUAAACACAUAAUAGUACAUACGACAGCAUAGCUGUAACUACAAUUAAUUUCCCCUUAGGCAAAAUCCGAUAUUAUUUUGAAAUUAAUUUAAUUAUGUGAACCGCCACGCACUGGUAUUUAUUGUUAUGCUACUGUCGUAAAAAUACUGUUAUAAAGUAGACCAAUGCUAAUAUUCAUAAACGCAUGUUUCAGUUAACAUGACUGUUAAAGCGCGCGGUUGUUUUAUGCGAUUAACGCAGCUUCAAACGCGCUCGCCGCACACCAAUUUUAAAUUAGAUAAUCUAAUGACCUCGUGAGGAAACCUGCAUACAUCUGCGAAGAAAUUCAAAGGUGUAUGUGAAGUCCCCAAUCCGCAUUGGGCUAGCGUGGGGACUAUAGCCCGAGCCCUCUCGCGCAUGAGAGGAGGCCUGUGCCCAGCAGUGGGACGUAUAUAGGCUGAAUUAUUAUUAUUUUAAUCUAAUGACCGUAAAUAUUUUUACGCUGUAAACGCAGCGGUAAGCGCAUUGUCAUUUUCCCAACAUUCCAUGAUCGCAUGCGUUCAACGCUGCGUCUAUCGCAUUAGUAACCGCGCGCUUAAAGCCAUUAUAACUGACUACGGUACAGUCACGGACGUUAAUUGUUGAGCCAAUUAGGGUUUACUUUACAUUGGACAUUUCAUACCGUUUAUAUUGACAGCCAAAUUAGCUUGAAUCAAUAAAGUCUGUGACCGUACGUUAAGAUUUAUGAAUAAGAGGGUUAAUAUUUGCAAGCUGACAACAUUGCAACACUUGAGACUGAUAGUAUUUUAGUUGUCGUUGUUGAAGUUUGGAAUAUUGAGCGUUAAUUGUUUAUACGUAUGUCAAGAGGUACGUCUGAGGAGCCUCCAGUGCCACCAUACCCAAAUCCACUUUGGCUUAUUGUAAACUUUGUCACGCAGAUCUAUUCAUGUAAUAAUUUGCUCUAGCCACGUAAAUUGUUUGGCCUCGGGUGGAUCAACUUUCGUGUGUGUAUUGUUAUUCCGUGACGUUGUCCAAGUGACAAUAGUGGUAGUUUGUUAGAAGAAAUGUUGCAUCAUAUUCUACUUACAUGCUUAAUAGAUGGCCCAUUAUGGGAAUGGCUUAUAACAACCAGAUAAAUGCAUGUUUGGUAGAUUUUAAUAUGUACCAUAAGAUCCGGAUUUUAACGGUAAUUCUUCCCUUAGAAAUCGAUAAAUAAGUAAGCAUAGAGCGCUCACUUCAUAAAUCAGUUUUAAUACCAAAACGCUUAUUUUCGUAGUCGACAUCUAGUGUCCAGUAGCGGAUUUAUCAGUACCGCUACUAGAUGUCACGAGUGUCGGGAUUGACAAAAAGUGUAUUGCUCAACAAUUUUCGACUAAUAUUACAAGCAGUUCAGGUUUAUCCGGUUAUAAUAAUAUCUACUUGACGCUAGACGUCAACUACGAAAAUAAUAAGCGUUUUGGUAAGAAAACUUAUGUAUGGAGUGAGCGCUCUAUGCUUAUUUAUUAGUUAAUUCUCUAUGUCAGACAACUAAUCGUAUAGGUAAAUUCAUAACAGUUAGCGCUAGAUUUGUACUGAACGGUCAACAUUUUCAUAGAAAAUCCCCGCCAGCUUUCGUGAAACGACCUUGGUAACGAGUGGCAGGCACUAAAAGUUGAUUCACUCUCUUACAAACAGGUCGUUAGGUAAUACGAGGAUAAAACCUAUUAGUAAUAGUACAAACGCCUCAGUGUCAGUAACCGCUUCGUCCAACCACGUCGCUUGCUUCGGGUGCUAAAGUACACUGUUGAUUAUGUUAUAAGAAUCGGAAGACUUCUGGAAUUGUAAUGCCCAGUUAAUGCAAAUUUUAUCCGUAGCUAAACUUACAUUUGUAUUAAGAAUCAAAUUGUGAAAUCAUGUGAUGUAAAUAAUGUGUAAAUAAAAUAUUCAGAAAUCUA
This is a long non-coding RNA of Cydia pomonella (codling moth), 4493 nucleotides long. RefSeq lists it as uncharacterized. The record is from RefSeq and is a predicted model, not a curated record. The transcript is spliced from 2 exons. NCBI's taxonomy places the organism in Eukaryota, Metazoa, Arthropoda, Insecta, Lepidoptera, Tortricidae.